CAAAUUGGGUUGAUUUGGAUCCGGGGAAACCCGGAUGACCCGACUUAUUUUCGACUGUCCGUAUUCGUAGCACUUCUCAGUUCUCAGUGGCAAUGGCGCCUAAACGCCGUCGAUCAAGGAAGCGCAGAAAGCUUUUCAAACGAAGAGUAAAGGUGAAAGCGGUGCGGGUAGCGGAAGAGCCCGGAGACGGCGAAGGGGUUAGUCCGAUGGUCGAGAAGUAUUGGCUUCAGAGAUUCAAUCUCUUCUCCAAGUACGACGAGGGCAUAAAGAUGGAUGAAGAGGGGUGGUUUUCCGUCACGCCGGAAGAAAUCGCCGCCAGACAAGCCGACCGCUGCUUCGGCGGUGCCGUCGUCAUCGACGGUUUCACCGGCGUCGGCGGUAACGCCAUUCAAUUUGCCGCAAAGUGUAACCAUGUUAUUGCCAUUGACAUUGAUCCUAAAAAGAUUGAAAUGGCUAGAAACAAUGCAAGGAUAUAUGGAGUGGAGGAGUAUAUUGAUUUCCUCACUGGAGACUUUUUCCAAUUGGCGCCAUUUCUGAAGGGAGACAUUGUAUUUCUCUCACCGCCAUGGGGUGGCCCGACUUACAAAUUGAGAAGCACGUAUACUCUCGAGCUCCUGAAACCAAAAGAUGGUUAUUCGUUAUUUCAGGCUGCGCAAAACAUUACGCCUAACAUCAUGAUGUAUUUGCCUCGCAAUGUGGACUUGCUUCAGGUGGAACAGCUUUCUUGGUUAUCUUCGCCCCCUUUACAAAUUCAGAUUGAAGAAAACACGCUUCAUGGCUACGUGAAAGGCAUAACGGUUUAUUUUGGUGAUAUUGCAUCUCCAUAGCUCAGGUUCUUAGCCAUCAUCUAUCUGUCAAUGUCCCGAGUUACCUUUUGACCUCACCGGCCUAAUUCUUUAGUCUCCCACGGAAUACCCUAUUUGUACCCCGGGAAUACAGGUAGCAGAACUUCGACCUCGUCUUCCACUGACUACUUACUCGUAGGUGGCGGGGCUAAAAUUUAUUCAGGUCCAUGCUUAGAAAGUGAGAAUUCUCCCUGUGGCAAUUAAUUCUCACAUUCAUUGGAUUAGGAAGAGCUGUGCCCCUUAUGUAUAAAGGUAGUUCUACAAGCCCUGAUAGGGGUGGUGGUCGAGUGGGUGCAGCAUGACUUUUGUACCUAAAGUCACGAGUUCAGUUCUUGUCAACACUCUCUAGGUCAAGUCUGUCGCACAGGGUCUUCUUAGUGCAGUUACCUUUCCCGUGUGGUUUGCUGGCUAUUAGACAUGUGUAGAGUUUACUUGUGCAUAUCCUUAGGUAGUGGCUGCGGGUUUCUCUCGACAUAAAAAAAAAAAGGGUAGUUUCAGAAACAAAAUAUGAGUUUUUGGUGAAACAUUUGCCCUGGUUUGAGUCAGUAGUGUCCUUAUCAGUCUUUGUGGAGUUGAAAAUGACAACAUUGUGCAAAGUUGUGAUUUUUUGCGUGCCCAAUGUUGGCAUUAUUAUAGUUAUGUUGUUAAAGUUGGUAAAUAAAUACCAACAAUUUUACCCA
Ipomoea nil (Japanese morning glory) is the source of this 1525-nucleotide RNA transcript. It is a transcript of the gene named trimethylguanosine synthase-like, with no coding region annotated. NCBI's taxonomy places the organism in Eukaryota, Viridiplantae, Streptophyta, Magnoliopsida, Solanales, Convolvulaceae. The record is from RefSeq and is a predicted model, not a curated record. The transcript has 8 exons.